This 510-nucleotide ribosomal RNA is filed under the name uncultured bacterium. RNAcentral describes it as "partial 16S ribosomal RNA". It matches the Rfam family "Bacterial small subunit ribosomal RNA", at positions 28 to 507 of the family's 1533-position model. The record is from RNAcentral.
GACGAACGCUGGCGGCGUGCUUAACACAUGCAAGUCGAACGAAGAGCGAUGGAAGCUUGCUUCUAUCAAUCUUAGUGGCGAACGGGUGAGUAACGCGUAAUCAACCUGCCCUUCAGAGGGGGACAACAGUUGGAAACGACUGCUCAUACCGCAUACGCUCUAAUCUCGGCAUCGAGGAUAGAUGAAAGGUGGCCUCUACAUGUAAGCUAUCACUGCAGGAGGGGAUUGCGUCUGUUUAGCUAGUUGGAGGGGUAACAGCCCACCAAGGCGAUGAUCAGUAGCCGGUAUGAGAGGAUGAACGGCCGCAGUGGGACUGAGACACGGCCCAGACGCCUACGGGAGGCAGCAGGGGGGAAUCUUCCGCAAUGGACGAAAGUCUGACGGAGCAACGCCGCGGGAGUGAUGACGGCCUUCGGGUUGUAAAGCUCUGUUAAUCGGGAGGAAAGGGCUUCUUGCGAAUAGGGAGAAGGAUUGACGGUACCGGAAAAGAAAGCCACGGCUAACUACGUG